UACGUAGGCAGCAAGCGUUGUUCGGAUUUACUGGGCGUAAAGGGUGUGUAGGCGGUUGUUUAAGUUUGGUGUGAAAUCUCCCGGCUCAACUGGGAGGGUGCGCCGAAUACUGAAUGACUUCGAGUGCGGGAGAGGAAAGUGGAAUUCCUGGUGUAGCGGUGAAAUGCGUAGAUAUCAGGAGGAACACCGGUGGUGUAGACGGCUUUCUGGACCGUAACUGACGCUGAGACACGAAAGCGUGGGUAGCAAACAGG
Molecule: ribosomal RNA, 254 nt
Filed under: uncultured bacterium
Lineage: Bacteria
Description: partial 16S ribosomal RNA
Rfam family: Bacterial small subunit ribosomal RNA
Source: RNAcentral